This 468-nucleotide ribosomal RNA is filed under the name uncultured bacterium. RNAcentral describes it as "partial 16S ribosomal RNA". It matches the Rfam family "Bacterial small subunit ribosomal RNA", at positions 28 to 507 of the family's 1533-position model. The record is from RNAcentral.
GACGAACGCUGGCGGCGUGCUUAACACAUGCAAGUCGAACGGAAAGGCCCUGCUUUUGUGGGGUGCUCGAGUGGCGAACGGGUGAGUAACACGUGAGUAACCUGCCCUUGACUUUGGGAUAACUUCAGGAAACUGGGGCUAAUACCGGAUAGGAGCUCCUGCUGCAUGGUGGGGGUUGGAAAGUUUCGGCGGUUGGGGAUGGGCUCGCGGCUUAUCGGCUUGUUGGUGGGGUAGUGGCUUACCAAGGCUUUGACGGGUAGCCGGCCUGAGAGGGUGACCGGCCACAUUGGGACUGAGAUACGGCCCAGACUCCUACGGGAGGCAGCAGUGGGGAAUAUUGCACAAUGGGCGGAAGCCUGAUGCAGCAACGCCGCGUGCGGGAUGACGGCCUUCGGGUUGUAAACCGCUUUCGCCUGUGACGAAGCGUGAGUGACGGUAAUGGGUAAAGAAGCACCGGCUAACUACGUG